GGUGGCACAGGGGGCAGGCUGCCCCCUGCAGUACAGGGCUGUGGCUCCAGGCCCAGCACCGUGGGGCUUACAUGAGGACUGCCUGGUGUAGGCGGUGACGGGGGGCUCUCUGUGCCCCCAGGACAGCCUCCUGUCACACCGCCAGCGCCCCGCCCAGCAGUGCCACUUGCCCUGGCUGGUCCACCUGUGCCCUGCCGUGCCAUGCUUCCCACCUGGCGUGGCUCCAGGCCUAGCCCAUAGCUGACUGCGGCUGUCCCCAGGUCCUGGCAUACUUAGCAGUCUGUCUCCGUCCCCCUCCGUGCUGCCUGUCCUGCUGUGGUUAGCGUGUGACUUGUACAAUGUCAGUGUUGUGUGAUCCUGCGUGGUCCUUGUCUAACUCGGGCGGCUCUGCUGCUGAGCCCAGGUCUCCCACCCCAGGCCUUCCCUCCCUCUCCAGUGCAUCCGGGCUCUCCCGCUCAUUGCAAAGAGCUUGUUCUCAGGGAGCGGUUCUGAGAGGGGACGGGCGCAUGGCAUGCUGCUGGU
Long non-coding RNA from Ochotona curzoniae (black-lipped pika), 522 nucleotides. RefSeq lists it as uncharacterized. The transcript has 4 exons. The record is from RefSeq and is a predicted model, not a curated record. Lineage: Eukaryota; Metazoa; Chordata; Mammalia; Lagomorpha; Ochotonidae.